This 392-nucleotide ribosomal RNA is filed under the name uncultured bacterium. RNAcentral describes it as "partial 16S ribosomal RNA". It matches the Rfam family "Bacterial small subunit ribosomal RNA", at positions 523 to 918 of the family's 1533-position model. The record is from RNAcentral.
AUACGGAGGAUCCGAGCGUUAUCCGGAUUUAUUGGGUUUAAAGGGUGCGCAGGCGGCCAUUUAGGUCAGCGGUUAAAUCGUGGGGCUCAACCCCAUUCUGCCGUUGAUACUGGGUGGCUUGAUUGCGGUCGAGGUUGGCGGAAUUCGUUGUGUAGCGGUGAAAUGCAUAGAUAUGACGAAGAACACCGAUUGCGUAGGCAGCUGACCAGACCGCAAAUGACGCUCAUGCACGAAAGUGCGGGGAUCGAACAGGAUUAGAUACCCUGGUAGUCCGCACAGUAAACGAUGAAUACUUGUUUUCGGCGAUAUAAUGUCGGAGGCAAAGCGAAAGCGAUAAGUAUUCCACCUGGGGAGUACGCCGGCAACGGUGAAACUCAAAUGAAUUGGCGGGG